RNAcentral lists this ribosomal RNA (510 nucleotides) under uncultured bacterium. RNAcentral's name for it is "partial 16S ribosomal RNA". It matches the Rfam family "Bacterial small subunit ribosomal RNA", at positions 28 to 507 of the family's 1533-position model. The record is from RNAcentral.
GACGAACGCUGGCGGCGUGCUUAACACAUGCAAGUCGAACGAAGAGCGACGGAAGCUUGCUUCUAUCAAUCUUAGUGGCGAACGGGUGAGUAACGCGUAAUCAACCUGCCCUUCAGAGGGGGACAACAGUUGGAAACGACUGCUAAUACCGCAUACGAUCUAAUCUCGGCAUCGAGGAUGGAUGAAAGGUGGCCUCUACAUGUAAGCUAUCACUGAAGGAGGGGAUUGCGUCUGAUUAGCUAGUUGGAGGGGUAACGGCCCACCAAGGCGAUGAUCAGUAGCCGGUCUGAGAGGAUGAACGGCCACAUUGGGACUGAGACACGGCCCAGACUCCUACGGGAGGCAGCAGUGGGGAAUCUUCCGCAAUGGACGAAAGUCUGACGGAGCAACGCCGCGGGAGGGAUGACGGCCUUCGGGUUGUAAAGCUCUGUUAAUCGGGACGAAAGGCCUUCUUGCGAAUAGUGAGAAGGAUUGACGGUACCGGAAGAGAAAGCCACGGCUAACUACGUG